CCUACGAGGGGCAGCAGUGGGGAAUAUUGCACAAUGGGCGCAAGCCUGAUGCAGCCAUGCCGCGUGUGUGAAGAAGGCCUUCGGGUUGUAAAGCACUUUCAGCGGGGAGGAAGGCGGUGAGGUUAAUAACCUCAUCGAUUGACGUUACCCGCAGAAGAAGCACCGGCUAACUCCGUGCCAGCAGCCGCGGUAAUACGGAGGGUGCAAGCGUUAAUCGGAAUUACUGGGCGUAAAGCGCACGCAGGCGGUCUGUCAAGUCGGAUGUGAAAUCCCCGGGCUCAACCUGGGAACUGCAUUCGAACCUGGCAGGCUAGAGUCUUGUAGAGGGGGGUAGAAUUCCAGGUGUAGCGGGGAAAUGCGUAGAGAUCUGGAGGAAUACCGGUGGCGAGGGCGGCCCCCUGGACAAAGACUGACGCUCAGGUGCGAAAGCGUGGGGAGCAAACGGGAUUAGAUACCCUAUAGUC
Molecule: ribosomal RNA, 464 nt
Filed under: uncultured Klebsiella sp.
Lineage: Bacteria; Pseudomonadati; Pseudomonadota; Gammaproteobacteria; Enterobacterales; Enterobacteriaceae
Description: bacterial SSU rRNA
Rfam family: Bacterial small subunit ribosomal RNA
Source: RNAcentral